UUGACCUCAAAUCAGGUAGGAUUACCCGCUGAACUUAAGCAUAUCAAUAAGCGGAGGAAAAGAAACUAACAAGGAUUCCCCUAGUAACUGCGAGUGAAGCGGGAAAAGCUCAAAUUUAAAAUCUGGCGGUCGUUGGCUGUCCGAGUUGUAAUCUAGAGAAGUGUUACCUGUGCUGGACCGUGUACAAGUCUCCUGGAAUGGAGCAUCAUAGAGGGUGAGAAUCCCGUCUUUGACAUGGACUGCCUGUACAUGAUGGUGCGCUCUCGAAGAGUCGAGUUGUUUGGGAAUGCAGCUCAAAAUGGGUGGUAAAUGCCAUCUAAAGCUAAAUAUUGGCGAGAGACCGAUAGCGAACAAGUACCGUGAGGGAAAGAUGAAAAGAACUUUGGAAAGAGAGUUAAACAGUACGUGAAAUUGCUGAAAGGGAAACGCUUGAAGUCAGUCGCGUUGGCUAGAAAUCAGCCUUGCUCUUGCUCGGUGUACUUUCUUGUCGACGGGUCAGCAUCAGUUUUGACCAUUGGAGAAGGACAUUGGGAAUGUGGCAUCCUUGGAUGUGUUAUAGCCCGGUGUCGCAUACGAUGGUUGGGAUUGAGGAACUCAGCACGCCGCAAGGCCGGGUCUCUGACCACGUUCGUGCUUAGGAUGCUGGCAUAAUGGCUUUAAUCGACCCGUC
Molecule: ribosomal RNA, 670 nt
Filed under: Inocybe striata
Lineage: Eukaryota; Fungi; Basidiomycota; Agaricomycetes; Agaricales; Inocybaceae
Description: eukaryotic LSU rRNA
Rfam family: Eukaryotic large subunit ribosomal RNA
Source: RNAcentral